UUCCCUACAUCGACGCUAAAGAGGAGAAUGGCCACGUCAAGCUCCUGGGCUUCAUUGGAAAGAUCGCUCAUGCGACGAUAGACUCUCUGCGACUGAAUGUUACGUUCGUCAAGCCUAGAUAUGGCACGUUCGGCGGGGAGUCUGUGAACAACAGCUGGCCCGGAAUUGUUGGAAUGUUGGUCAAGAACGAGGCGGACAUCGCUCCAGGGCCCCUGGUGGUGACUGCCCAGCGCGUGUCGGUGGCCGACCCAACAGUGCCCUACUCGUACGAGGAGAUGGUCAUCCUCGGAGGGAGGCCGAAGCAGUUCAGCAGCAAUCUCUUCAGCAUCGCGCUCACGUUUUCGCCCACGGUGAUCAAACCGUCGUAGCAU
Molecule: long non-coding RNA, 371 nt
Organism: Rhipicephalus sanguineus (brown dog tick)
Lineage: Eukaryota; Metazoa; Arthropoda; Arachnida; Ixodida; Ixodidae
Exons: 3
Source: RefSeq, a predicted model, not a curated record